Molecule: ribosomal RNA, 449 nt
Filed under: uncultured bacterium
Lineage: Bacteria
Description: partial 16S ribosomal RNA
Rfam family: Bacterial small subunit ribosomal RNA
Source: RNAcentral
AGCGAACGCUGGCGGCAGGUUUAACACAUGCAAGUCGAACGCCAUCUUCGGAUGGAGUGGCAGACGGGUGAGUAACGCGUGGGAACGUACCUUUUGGUUCGGAAUAUUCUCGGGAAACUGAGAGCAAUACCGAAUAAGCCCUUAGGGGGAAAGAUUUAUUGCCAAAAGAUCGGCCCGCGUUAGAUUAGGUAGUUGGUAGGGUAAUGGCCUACCAAGCCUACGAUCUAUAGCUGGUCUGAGAGGAUGAUCAGCCACAUUGGGACUGAUACACGGCCCAAACUCCUACGGGAGGCAGCAGUGGGGAAUAUUGGACAAUGGGCGCAAGCCUGAUCCAGCCAUGCCGCGUGAAUGAUGAAGGCCUUAGGGUUGUAAAAUUCUUUCAACGGGAACGAUAAUGACGGUACCCGUAGAAGGAGCCCCGGCUAACUUCGUGCCAGCCGCCGCGGUAA